This 400-nucleotide unclassified non-coding RNA is filed under the name Hevea brasiliensis (rubber tree). The record is from RNAcentral. Lineage: Eukaryota; Viridiplantae; Streptophyta; Magnoliopsida; Malpighiales; Euphorbiaceae.
UUUAUAUGUUCCUAUCUUUUCUUUGACUUGAACGUUAAUAUGAUGAGAAUGAAGGUUAUUGGCUAUCAACAAAUAAUAAAUGUGUUGGUGCUCUAAAUCCUUGGAUAUCCUUAAGAGUAGAAAGCUUAGAGGUAAUUCUUAGUAUGAGUGAGGUGUGAAAUAUCAGUCAAGUUCUAAUACCAAGUUAACUUUUCAAGAGUUAUUGGUUACAAAUAUAUCAAGUCAUUGCUUUAACUUGUUGUGACAACAUAUUUUGACUUGUGCCUUGUAUCUCUGAAUUCAGAAUAUGAGAGCGUCUCCCCUUCUGACCAUUAUAAUGCAUUUUCCCUUUCACUGUUAUUUUUGAGGGGCUUACUGGUGAUGGGCUUGAACUCUACAGUCUGUGUAAUUGCAGGUGAUG